This 653-nucleotide ribosomal RNA is filed under the name uncultured bacterium. RNAcentral describes it as "bacterial SSU rRNA". It matches the Rfam family "Bacterial small subunit ribosomal RNA", at positions 93 to 740 of the family's 1533-position model. The record is from RNAcentral.
GACCGGCAAACGGGUGCGGAACACGUACGCAACCUUCCCAAAACAGGUGAAUAGCCCUCCGAAAGGAGGAUUAAUACACCGUACCAUAAUUUAGUGGCAUCACUUUAUUAUUAUAGGCAGCGAUGUCGGUUUUGGAUGGGCGUGCGCCUGAUUAGGUAGUUGGCGGGGUAACGGCCCACCAAGCCUCCGAUCAGUAACUGGUGUGAGAGCACGACCAGUCACACGGGCACUGAGACACGGGCCCGACUCCUACGGGAGGCAGCAGUAAGGAAUAUUGGUCAAUGGACGCAAGUCUGAACCAGCCAUGCCGCGUGCAGGAUGAAGGCCCUCUGGGUUGUAAACUGCUUUUAUCUGGGACGAAAAAAGGGGAUUCUUCCUCACUUGACGGUACCAGAGGAAUAAGCACCGGCUAACUCCGUGCCAGCAGCCGCGGUAAUACGGAGGGUGCAAGCGUUAUCCGGAUUUACUGGGUUUAAAGGGUGCGUAGGUGGGCAGGUAAGUCAGUGGUGAAAUCUUCAAGCUUAACUUGGAAACUGCCAUUGAUACUAUUUGUCUUGAAUAUCCUGGAGGUAAGCGGAAUAUGUCAUGUAGCGGUGAAAUGCUUAGAUAUGACAUAGAACACCCAUUGCGAAGGCAGCUUACUACGGGAUUAU